CACAAGCAAGCACCUUCAAAAGGACCAAAUCAGAAACUCUCACAAAAGUGCCUUCAUUUGAUGAGAAGAAUGAACAGGAGCAUUGUCAUAGUGGAGAAAGACUCCCUGGUGUGCGUCAUAUUUUCUCACAUUCUCUUGAGGUAUUUUGAUGUGUUCCUCAAAUCUUUUUGAGCUGUACUAGAAACUCCAUGAGGGUAAGGAAGUAAAUUAUUUUGUUUAUUACUUCAUCCUCAUCCUCCUGCAUAGCAGCUAAACAUGGUUGACACUCA
Lemur catta (Ring-tailed lemur) is the source of this 269-nucleotide long non-coding RNA. RefSeq lists it as uncharacterized. The transcript has 3 exons. Lineage: Eukaryota; Metazoa; Chordata; Mammalia; Primates; Lemuridae. The record is from RefSeq and is a predicted model, not a curated record.